AGCACAGGAUACGGGAGGGCAGCAGGGCGGAGGGGCGUCGCGGGAGGCUCCGUCAGGACGCCUCCGACGAUCGUCAGGAGGCACGUCGCGCCGCGGGAGGAUCCACGACGCCGCCACCGACAAGCGCGACGAGGCGCUUCGCGUCGUGGGAGGUUCCGUCACGCCGCCGCCGAGCACGAGGAGACGUGUCGCGUCUCAUGAGGCUCUGGCACGCCACCGGCGACGAGCACGAGGAGGCGUGCCGCGUCUCGGGAGGUUCCGCCACGCCGGCGACGACCAGAAGGAGGCGCGCCGCGUCUUGGGAGGCCCCGCUGCCGGCGACGAGCACGAGGAGGCGCGCCGCGUCUCGAGAAGCUCCGCCAUGCCGCCGGCAACGAUGACGCGAGUCGCUGGCGGCUCCUCCACCAAACGUCUCUGACGAGCGCAACGAGGCGCGUUGCGGGAACCCUCCACCAGGACGCCUCCGACGAGGACGACAAGGCGCGUCGUGGGAAGCUUCCCUCGCUGGACACAGCCUGCACCACCACACCGCACCACGCCUCCGCCUCUCCCGUUUCCCCGUUGCCAUGGUGCUCGGCCGCGCCCGUACUCGCUCGCCCGAAAAUCCUAGCCCCGCCUUGGGCUUGGUCGCCGGCGCUGCUCAGACGCUGCCGCACCUCCGGCUGAUCCUCCUCGUGGAACAGGUAUUCCUUUACUUUGCCUGGACCUCAUGGAGCCCGAGCUCCUUCUCCACUACAUCGACGCCGGCAUCCACCUCCUGGAACCUCGCUUCGGCCAUGUCGUCCCUUCCCGUCGGUGGGUGGUUGGUGGUUCACCGUCGGGGAAGCUGACGAGGUAUCCUCCACUCUGGCUUCCGGCUCAGUCGUCGCGGCAGCAGGCGCCGAUCUGGCCACCCCACGACAUCGGAAGGGAGUUGGGGUCGCGGAGCCAUCACCGGCAUGGACAGGCGGGACAGUGAGCAGGGAGCGGCGAGGAGGUGACGCCCAUGUCAACCACAGGUGCGGAGGCCACCAGCGGCAGCGAGCAGCGUCGGUCCACAGUUACGUGCCCUCCUGCGUCUGGGUGGCCUCUCUCUGUUCUUCCUCUCCCGCCUCACUUGCCCUCUUUCUCUGACAGUGAGCAGAGGGGCAGCGCACUAUUGCAUCUAGACCUCCGUCUGCACGUUUGUUUGUCCAUCGGGUGAGGAACUUCUAAAACAUGAAAAAUGAAAUUGCAAGGUGUACUAUUCUGUGAUGUUCCAGGAUUCAAAUCGUGGAAAAGGAGCCUGCCACUAAAUUGUUCUGUCCAUGAGUAUGCCAUCCUCAAGAUGUCUAUGCAGGCAAGAACUUCAUGCUUUCUUGCUCUGGUUGGUGGGUCAGAUGAGCUUGCAAUAUCUCUGAGUUGUGCACAAGAAGACCUUUUGUGUAGGUUUAUUCUUGAGGGACAUGCCCGAUGAGGAUAUUUCGAGGUGAUGAAGUAUUCAGCAUUCGACUCAUCCUUUCUUUCUUUGACAUAUGGGUGCACAAUAUUGAUCUCCUUUUCUGUUUUACUCACCCGAGCGGCAACUCGAAGCUGCAGUUGCUGAAAAUAGCGGUGCUAGCAUGAGGAUCACAUGUUCGUCUGUCUCUUAUUUCUAUCUCUUUUGGUAUAUCUUUCUCAGUCCUGAUACCUUUUGAUGAUACAGUUUUUCAUGUUUGAGUUGAUCAGUCAGUAAGAUCAAGCAACAUAAUGCUACAACUACUUCUUACAGUUCCAGUUAGACAAGAUAAAUAUGAAUAUCAAAAGGGUUGUUGGAUAUCGGCAAUGGUGCAAUAAAUUUUGGAAUGCCAUUCGAUUUGCAAUGGGCAGGCUUGGUGAUCAUUACAGUCCAGUAGCAAUUAUCAUUGUGUCUCCAGUGCCUCCAAUCUGCAAAUAGAUACUCUCAGUAUUUAAUAAGGCUAUUGCAAUUAUUUGAACUGGUUUAAGGCGUGAUCAGAAGUCCUCCAGCUUAUGGAUUCCCGAAACUCCGGCAUGGAGCAGUGCCAAAAAGUCUAGCUUCACGGAGCCAGAUUCGAGAAGCCUGCCCAAUUUGAUGUACAAAUAUACAUUUAUAGGUGGAUCUGAUUAAUGGGGCAUUGGCACCAUUGGCAUCUUGAUGGCAGAGCAAUGAUGCGCAUCCACUGGUUAUAGAGAGAUAUGAGGUCAAUUAUAUCAGUGCAAAUAUCAAGAAGGUGCAUCAAAAGUAUGGAACUGUGUGCGCUGCCGACUUCACUCACCACUAUAAAGCUUUGGCCCUAAUAAGACCAGUUCAUAUUAACACUAUGUGUACCUGUCUCACCUAUCUAUCCUGUUUCGUAAGAUCAGGUUUUUGAACACAUGUAUCUAUUUGGUAGAUCACCGGUGGUUCUUUCCAUAUAGCUUCAGCACUGGUGCGGCGUGCCGCCGCGCCCUUCUUUUGCUAGUGACAUCAAGGACUCAACAUACUCGGGUGCUCGCAGAAUAAGCUUCGACUAUUGACAUCGACUGAGCCCUGUUCAUCGACUGCUACUUUCAUACAUGGAUCAAGCCAUCGAGUUAAUCAGCGAGGAACAUCCGAUACAAAAAUAUCAGGUGCUAUAUUUACAAUUAAUUAGUACCUGCAAAAUUUAUUUAGCCAAA
This is a non-coding RNA of Lolium perenne, 2616 nucleotides long. The record is from RefSeq and is a predicted model, not a curated record. Lineage: Eukaryota; Viridiplantae; Streptophyta; Magnoliopsida; Poales; Poaceae.